GUGAGUCAUCGAAUCUUUGAACGCACAUUGCGCCCGCCAGUAUUCUGGCGGGCAUGCCUGUUCGAGCGUCAUUUCAACCCUCAAGCACAGCUUGGUGUUGGGACUCGCGUUAAUUCGCGUUCCUCAAAUUGAUUGGCGGUCACGUCGAGCUUCCAUAGCGUAGUAGUAAAACCCUCGUUACUGGUAAUCGUCGCGGCCACGCCGUUAAACCCCAACUUCUGAAUGUUGACCUCGGAUCAGGUAGGAAUACCCGCUGAACUUAAGCAUAUCAAUAAGCGGAGGA
RNAcentral lists this unclassified non-coding RNA (283 nucleotides) under Fusarium sp. RNAcentral's name for it is "partial contains 5.8S ribosomal RNA, internal transcribed spacer 2, and large subunit ribosomal RNA". The stretch from base 1 to 71 matches the Rfam family "5.8S ribosomal RNA", at positions 84 to 154 of the family's 154-position model. The record is from RNAcentral. RNAcentral also lists the same sequence under 2 other names. Lineage: Eukaryota; Fungi; Ascomycota; Sordariomycetes; Hypocreales; Nectriaceae.